Onthophagus taurus is the source of this 374-nucleotide long non-coding RNA. RefSeq lists it as uncharacterized. Lineage: Eukaryota; Metazoa; Arthropoda; Insecta; Coleoptera; Scarabaeidae. The record is from RefSeq and is a predicted model, not a curated record.
UCGUAAAUUCAGUCAAGAAAACGUCAAAAAAUUCUAGUGUAGGGUCUUGUAAUUUUUGUGGAGGAUGGCGAGUCAUCAACCAUAAAUCUAAGCUUAUUUCUUAUCGCUACGAACCAGCGAAAGCAGUCGGAACUUUAUUCGUUGGAAUGUUAUUUUCGGAAAAUUGUACACGUUUUAGGGAUUAUCUUGAUUACAUUUAGAGUACACAUAAAAUUUAUUUAAAAAAAAUGGAUUUUGAAUGGGGGAUUUACUUUUUCGUUGCGUUAGGAGCUGCUCUAGCGUUUUGUACAUAUCGAUUUAUGACUGGAUAUAGGCAUAUAAUUUAAAUGUACUCAGUUUGUGAAAUAACGUUGUAAUAAAGAACAUUUACAUAA